This 540-nucleotide ribosomal RNA is filed under the name Aspergillus flavus. RNAcentral's name for it is "eukaryotic LSU rRNA". The stretch from base 154 to 307 matches the Rfam family "5.8S ribosomal RNA". The record is from RNAcentral. Lineage: Eukaryota; Fungi; Ascomycota; Eurotiomycetes; Eurotiales; Aspergillaceae.
CUCCCACCCGUGUUUACUGUACCUUANUUGCUUCGGCGGGCCCGCCAUUCAUGGCCGCCGGGGGCUCUCAGCCCCGGGCCCGCGCCCGCCGGAGACACCACGAACUCUGUCUGAUCUAGUGAAGUCUGAGUUGAUUGUAUCGCAAUCAGUUAAAACUUUCAACAAUGGAUCUCUUGGUUCCGGCAUCGAUGAAGAACGCAGCGAAAUGCGAUAACUAGUGUGAAUUGCAGAAUUCCGUGAAUCAUCGAGUCUUUGAACGCACAUUGCGCCCCCUGGUAUUCCGGGGGGCAUGCCUGUCCGAGCGUCAUUGCUGCCCAUCAAGCACGGCUUGUGUGUUGGGUCGUCGUCCCCUCUCCGGGGGGGACGGGCCCCAAAGGCAGCGGCGGCACCGCGUCCGAUCCUCGAGCGUAUGGGGCUUUGUCACCCGCUCUGUAGGCCCGGCCGGCGCUUGCCGAACGCAAAUCAAUCUUUUUCCAGGUUGACCUCGGAUCAGGUAGGGAUACCCGCUGAACUUAAGCAUAUCAAUAAGCGGAGGAAGAU